AAUGAGGGUGAGAGUCCUGUUUGUCAUGUGCAGCCUUCUGUGCACGGUGUAUAUUUGCUGAGUCACACUCCUUGGCAUUGGAAUGCAAAGUGGGUGGUAAGUUUCAUGCAAAGGUAAAUAUGCAAUUGAGACUGAUAGCGCACAAGUACCAUGAGGGACAUAUGAAAAGGACUUUGAAAAGAGAAUUAAAUGAGUUUGUAUUUGCUAAACACAAAGUAAACAGACUUGAUUUCCUCAGUGAGAUUGUAGUGCUUGCUUAACAAUGGGUUUUGGCUGCAAGUGCAAUAAUUCUUGCUUUGUGUGCCAGUUUUUAUGUGGACAUUUGAUUACCUUUGCACAUGAAUGGUAAUUUUCCUGCGGGGUGUGGAUUGCAUAUGCAUGUAAUGAUUUGCAUGUUUGUUAAAUGUGUCUGGUGUAUUUGUUUGUGUCCUUGUCCUUGAGGUUGCUUUCUCCCUUGGGCUUACAUGCCCUGGCACACACAUUCUGGCAAAAUGCUUCUGCUUGACCCGUCUUGAAACACGGACCAAGGAGUCUAACAGAUGUGCAAGUUUGAAGGUGGUAUACCUGUGUGUGUAAUGAAAGUAUUGGCUGGGAUAUUUGCACCAGCAGCCGACUAAUUAGCAGACAGAGGUUUGAGUUGGAGCAUAUCUAUUAGGACCCGAAAGAUGGUGAACUAUGCUUGAACAGAAAGAAUUCAGAGGAAACUCUGAUGGAGGUUCGUAUCGAUACUGACGUGCAAAUCGUUCGUCAUAUUUGGGUAUAGGGGCGAAAGACUAAUCGAACCAUCUAGUAGCUGGUUCCCUCCGAAGUUUCCCUCAGGAUAGCUGGAGUUGCACAGUUUUAUCAGGUAAAGCGAAUGAUUAGAGGAAUUGGGGACAGAUGUGUCCUUGACCUAUUCUCAAACUUUAAAUGGGUAAUAUGUAGUGGUUGCUUGAUGGAACUUCUAAAAUGAAUGGCAAUAUUAGGUGGGCCAUUUUUGGUAAGCAGAACUGGCGAUGAGGGAUGAACCUAAUGCUGGGUUAAGGGGCUUAAUUAC
This 1036-nucleotide ribosomal RNA is filed under the name Alexandrium pacificum. Its description in RNAcentral is "partial large subunit ribosomal RNA". It matches the Rfam family "Eukaryotic large subunit ribosomal RNA", at positions 205 to 1196 of the family's 3401-position model. Lineage: Eukaryota; Dinophyceae; Gonyaulacales; Pyrocystaceae. The record is from RNAcentral.